GUAGGUGAACCUGCGGAAGGAUCAUUAACGCGAUAGCUGCCGCCCGUGUGCAAGCAUGGGCGGAUAAGGCUAGCCGUCCUUGUGCUGUGUUGACGUUGCUUGCCCACCCGCACCCGUAAGGGGAAGAGUGGGCGCUGGCAUUUUCACCCAUAUUUUCACCAUGUUUUUCUAACCAACUGCUCGCAAGAGCACAACAAUCGAAAACUGCCAGCAACGGAUCACUCGGUUCUC
RNAcentral lists this unclassified non-coding RNA (231 nucleotides) under rhizosphere metagenome. Its description in RNAcentral is "partial ribosomal RNA internal transcribed spacer region". The record is from RNAcentral.